RNAcentral lists this ribosomal RNA (1524 nucleotides) under Klebsiella aerogenes. RNAcentral's name for it is "bacterial SSU rRNA". It matches the Rfam family "Bacterial small subunit ribosomal RNA". The record is from RNAcentral. Lineage: Bacteria; Pseudomonadati; Pseudomonadota; Gammaproteobacteria; Enterobacterales; Enterobacteriaceae.
AGAGUUUGAUCAUGGCUCAGAUUGAACGCUGGCGGCAGGCCUAACACAUGCAAGUCGAGCGGUAGCACAGAGAGCUUGCUCUCGGGUGACGAGCGGCGGACGGGUGAGUAAUGUCUGGGAAACUGCCUGAUGGAGGGGGAUAACUACUGGAAACGGUAGCUAAUACCGCAUAAUGUCGCAAGACCAAAGUGGGGGACCUUCGGGCCUCAUGCCAUCAGAUGUGCCCAGAUGGGAUUAGCUAGUAGGUGGGGUAACGGCUCACCUAGGCGACGAUCCCUAGCUGGUCUGAGAGGAUGACCAGCCACACUGGAACUGAGACACGGUCCAGACUCCUACGGGAGGCAGCAGUGGGGAAUAUUGCACAAUGGGCGCAAGCCUGAUGCAGCCAUGCCGCGUGUGUGAAGAAGGCCUUCGGGUUGUAAAGCACUUUCAGCGGGGAGGAAGGCGUUAAGGUUAAUAACCUUGGCGAUUGACGUUACCCGCAGAAGAAGCACGGCUAACUCCGUGCCAGCAGCCGCGGUAAUACGGAGGGUGCAAGCGUUAAUCGGAAUUACUGGCGUAAAGCGCACGCAGGCGGUCUGUCAAGUCGGAUGUGAAAUCCCCGGGCUCAACCUGGAACUGCAUUCGAAACUGGCAGGCUAGAGUCUUGUAGAGGGGGGUAGAAUUCCAGGUGUAGCGGUGAAAUGCGUAGAGAUCUGGAGGAAUACCGGUGGCGAAGGCGGCCCCCUGGACAAAGACUGACGCUCAGGUGCGAAAGCGUGGGGAGCAAACAGGAUUAGAUACCCUGGUAGUCCACGCCGUAAACGAUGUCGAUUUGGAGGUUGUGCCCUUGAGGUGUGGCUUCCGGAGCUAACGCGUUAAAUCGACCGCCUGGGGAGUACGGCCGCAAGGUUAAAACUCAAAUGAAUUGACGGGGCCCGCACAAGCGGUGGAGCAUGUGGUUUAAUUCGAUGCAACGCGAAGAACCUUACCUGGUCUUGACAUCCACAGAACUUAGCAGAGAUGCUUUGGUGCCUUCGGGAACUGUGAGACAGGUGCUGCAUGGCUGUCGUCAGCUCGUGUUGUGAAAUGUUGGGUUAAGUCCCGCAACGAGCGCAACCCUUAUCCUUUGUUGCCAGCGGUCCGGCCGGGAACUCAAAGGAGACUGCCAGUGAUAAACUGGAGGAAGGUGGGGAUGACGUCAAGUCAUCAUGGCCCUUACGACCAGGGCUACACACGUGCUACAAUGGCAUAUACAAAGAGAAGCGACCUCGCGAGAGCAAGCGGACCUCAUAAAGUAUGUCGUAGUCCGGAUUGGAGUCUGCAACUCGACUCCAUGAAGUCGGAAUCGCUAGUAAUCGUAGAUCAGAAUGCUACGGUGAAUACGUUCCCGGGCCUUGUACACACCGCCCGUCACACCAUGGGAGUGGGUUGCAAAAGAAGUAGGUAGCUUAACCUUCGGGAGGGCGCUUACCACUUUGUGAUUCAUGACUGGGGUGAAGUCGUAACAAGGUAACCGUAGGGGAACCUGCGGUUGGAUCACCU